Mesorhizobium huakuii 7653R is the source of this 96-nucleotide non-coding RNA. The record is from Rfam. NCBI's taxonomy places the organism in Bacteria, Pseudomonadati, Pseudomonadota, Alphaproteobacteria, Hyphomicrobiales, Phyllobacteriaceae.
AUCCGUUCGGUGUUUUCCUCCCAUUUCACCGAGCGGUGUUCCCCUCUGAAGGUUAUGACCUUCUUUUUGGCCGGGCCGGUUUCGCGCCCGGCCUUU